GACGAACGCUGGCGGCGUGCUUAACACAUGCAGGUCGAACGCGCCUGUCCUCUGGGUUUCUGGGGGGUGGGUGAGUGGCGAACGGGUGAGUAACACGUGAGUAACCUGCCCCCUUCUUCGGGAUAACGGUCUGAAAGGGCUGCUAAUACCGGGUAUUCACUGGUCUCCGCAUGGGGUCUGGUGGAAAGGUUUUUUUCUGGUGGGGGAUGGGCUCGCGGCCUAUCAGCUUGUUGGUGGGGUGAUGGCCCACCAAGGCUUUGACGGGUAGCCGGCCUGAGAGGGUGACCGGUCACAUUGGGACUGAGAUACGGCCCAGACUCCUACGGGAGGCAGCAGUGGGGAAUAUUGCACAAUGGGCGCAAGCCUGAUGCAGCGACGCCGCGUGAGGGAUGGAGGCCUUCGGGUUGUGAACCUCUUUCGCCCGUGGUCAAGCCGCGACGUGGGUCGUGGUGAGGGUAGUGGGUAAAGAAGCGCCGGCUAACUACGUG
Molecule: ribosomal RNA, 488 nt
Filed under: uncultured bacterium
Lineage: Bacteria
Description: partial 16S ribosomal RNA
Rfam family: Bacterial small subunit ribosomal RNA
Source: RNAcentral